CUACGGGGGGCUCCAGUGAGGAAUUUUGCGCAAUGGGGGAAACCCUGACGCAGCAACGCCGCGUGAGUGAAGAAGGCUUUCGGGUCGUAAAGCUCUGUCAGAUGGGAAAAAUGUCCAAUAGUAAAUAGCUAUUGGGCUUGAUGGUACCAUCAGAGGAAGCACCGGCUAACUCCGUGCCAGCAGCCGCGGUAAUACGGAGGGUGCGAGCGUUGUUCGGAAUUAUUGGGCGUAAAGAGCGUGUAGGCGGUUUGGCAAGUCAGAUGUGAAAGCCUUCUGCUCAACAGAAGAAGUGCAUUUGAAACUGACUGACUAGAGGAUGGGAGAGGAGAGUGGAAUUCCCAGUGUAGAGGUGAAAUUCGUAGAUAUUGGGAGGAACACCCGUGGCGAAGGCGACUCUCUGGACCAAUACUGACGCUGAGACGCGAAAGCGUGGGGAGCAAACAGGAUUAGAUACCCCCGUAGUC
This 464-nucleotide ribosomal RNA is filed under the name uncultured bacterium. RNAcentral describes it as "partial 16S ribosomal RNA". It matches the Rfam family "Bacterial small subunit ribosomal RNA", at positions 339 to 795 of the family's 1533-position model. The record is from RNAcentral.